GACGAACGCUGGCGGCGUGCCUAAUACAUGCAAGUCGAACGAGAGCGACCGGUGCUUGCACUGGUCAAUCUAGUGGCGAACGGGUGAGUAACACGUGGGUAACCUGCUCAUCAGAGGGGGAUAACAUCCGGAAACGGAUGCUAAAACCGCAUAGGUCUUCGAGCCGCAUGGCUUGAAGAGGAAAAGAGGCGCAAGCUUCUGCUGAUGGAUGGACCCGCGGUGCAUUAGCUAGUUGGUGAGGUAACGGCUCACCAAGGCCGUGAUGCAUAGCCGACCUGAGAGGGUGAUCGGCCACAUUGGGACUGAGACACGGCCCAAACUCCUACGGGAGGCAGCAGUAGGGAAUCUUCCGCAAUAGACGCAAGUCUGACGGAGCAACGCCGCGUGAGUGAAGAAGGUUUUCGGAUCGUAAAACUCUGUUGUUAGAGAAGAACAAGUGCUAGAGUAACUGUUAGCGCCUUGACGGUAUCUAACCAGAAAGCCACGGCUAACUACGUGC
This 499-nucleotide ribosomal RNA is filed under the name uncultured bacterium. Its description in RNAcentral is "partial 16S ribosomal RNA". It matches the Rfam family "Bacterial small subunit ribosomal RNA", at positions 28 to 508 of the family's 1533-position model. The record is from RNAcentral.